RNAcentral lists this long non-coding RNA (3212 nucleotides) under Sus scrofa (pig). RNAcentral's name for it is "lncRNA (ENSSSCG00035054189.1)". Lineage: Eukaryota; Metazoa; Chordata; Mammalia; Artiodactyla; Suidae. The record is from RNAcentral.
GUCCUAUCCGGGCGGGGCGGGGAAGACGAAAAGCUCUUGGUGAGGCUGGGCCUUUCUGGGGACGAUGCCGUCCGCAUUCUCAGUGAGCUCGUUCCCCGUCAGCAUCCCCGCCGUGAUCAUGCAGACAGACUGGACGGAGCCGUGGCUGGUCGGGCUGGUCAUCUUCCACGUACUCUGCCUGCUGCUCACCUGCUUCUCAUCCCGGAGCCUCCUGCUGUGUGAAUACAUUUGUAAGGCUUCCAGCUGUGCCUGUCCUGGCGGGAAGUGCCAACCAGGAAGCAAAGUUCUGGGCAUAAAAUGACGUGGUGCCCAAGUCAGUUUUAAAGAUAAUGAGAAGGAGCAGAGUUGUGUGGCAUCCCCACGGAGAAGGAGUGGAGGCUGCAGGUGGCAGUCGUCCACCACCUCCGGUCCCUGUGCAGCUCUUGGCCUCCUGCCCUGGUCCCCACCCCAGCCCGUACCACCAGGGAGGGCCACCCAGGGGCUGGGCUGUUCCUGCUGCUCCUGUUAUCCUCAGGCCAGAUCCCCCCCCCCCCCCCCCCCCCCCCCGCCCCCGUCUUUGCCACCAGCGCAAGUCUGAGGGGCCAGGCAGGGGACCCCAGCCCUUGCCCCAGGGCCCUCGGGUCCCACCACUGGCCUUGCCAGCUGACCUGUGACCAGGUGGGGCAGGCCGGCCUGCUCUGGUGUCUGGCCGGAAGCUCCUGCCGAGGGUGUGCCCAGCGGACUGACCAUCAGACUCCGUGUUCGCCUGGGUUUCCCUUCGAGUGGCUGCCUUCUGUCAGCGACAACAGGAACAGGUCUCAGCAGAUCCCUCUGUGCUGUAGCUGUCGCUUCUUUCCUCUCAGUGACGCUGGUCUACUGCGCCGAGUACAUCAAUGAGGUUGCGGCCAUGAACUGGAGGUCCUUCUCAAAGUACCAGUAUUUCGACUCGAGGGGGAUGUUCGUGUCCCUGGUCUUCUCGGCACCGCUGCUGCUCAACGCCCUGGCCAUCGUGAUCCUGUGGGUGCGCAAGACGCUGGCGGUGAUGAGCGACCUGAGGACCUUACAGCAGCGCCGGGGGCGGCCGAAGCAGCAGUGACGGCUCUGCCCCCGGCUGGCGCCUGGGCAUCCAGACCCGCCCCGCGUCCCGAGACGCUUGGGCUGGCUUUGAAGGGCGCUCGCCCGGCCUGGGUCCACCCAGAAGGUCUGAGUCUCCCUAGUUAAACUGUAAACGGAGCCCCUGCAGUCAAGCCUGAGCUCGGGACACCCUGUCUGUCCAUGUGGGAGGGUUGAGGGGUGGACAGCGCCAUCCACGCGUGGGCACCCCCAUUGGCCCCUGUCACCCCCACCCUCCCCGUCAGCCCCCUGUCACCUCUAUCACUCCCCCAUCACCCCUGUCACCCCCAUGCUCCCCGUCAGCCCCCUGUCACGGUCACCCCUGUCACCCCUGUCACUGCCAUCACCCUGGUCUGGCCUUCGUGGCGACGGCCUCUCCAGGCAGGGCUGCCGCUGGACAGGGCAGGAGGGGCCGCCUGGCCUCUGUGCAGUUGGAGGCGUCACGGCGCCGGCGGAGGCCGGAGUCGGGAUCUUCAGAGGCGGCAGCCGCGCGAGCCCCUUGAGUUGUGCUUCAGGAAGGAACGUCGCCAUUAAAACAGUCAGCAGCUGCCUGGUUCAACUAAGAGGUUUUAUGGCAAAUACCGAGACGGGUUCUGUCCCUUGGUUCCUGCCUCUUACAUUCUGCUCGGGGACAUGCCACCGCCUCUUCUGUUGGAGCAGGUGCGCUGAUUCGGUGUCACGGCCGCGCUGCGGACUAGACCUGCAGCUGGAGGGUGGGGGCCGCAUGUCUAAACUCAGCGUUUGAGAAAGAGGAGGCGGUUGGCUCCUGAUGGGGUUUGAAAAAAUAGCUUGCGAGCCUUCCUGCUGUGACUCAAAGGGAUCAGCGGCAUCUCUGCAGCGCUGGGCGCGGGUUUGAUCCCUGGCCGGGUGCAGUGGGUUAAGGCUCUGACAGGGCUGCAGCUGCAGUGUAGGUCACGCUGGGACGUGGCUCUGAUCCUGGCCCAGGAAAGCCAUGUGCCAUGGGGUGGCCUGAAAAAAAGAGAGGAAGUAGUUUAUGAAUAGUUGUCUUAAUUUUAAGAAGAUGUUUUCCCUUAAAUGAAGUAUAUUUUUCAAAUUUCAAAAGAAAAAAAAUUGGUCACGUGAAAGCAUUAUAUUUAGUGGUUCAGAGGGUAACACUGCUGGAUGAUGGGAUUAAAUCUUGAAAUCCAGACGUAAAGACAGCUGUAAACUCUUAGCAGAGAAAUUAUUUCCUUAAUUUUGACGUUGGUUUUAGAACCGAGUCGAUAGAACUUCCUAGAUCAAUCUCUUGGAGCUUUUAACCUCACAUCCUUUCUUGAUGUGAACGUCUGUACUGAACAUUGAAAAAAUUGACUCAGCAACAGCAUGUCACGUGAAAUCCAGUUUUAGAUGUCUUGCACCUGAUGACAUCCUGAGGGUGCGUUGCUGAAAGUGACCAGUUCAGGGUGUUCCUUGGUGUCCUGGCUUCAGAAGAGUCGCCUGCAUCUGAGCAGCUCCCGGGAGCCCACAGCGGCAGGGGCUGCGGGCGGGGUCGAGUGUCCCCUCCAGCGCCGGCCUGGGGCCAGGGGACAGAAGUGCCCGUGGCAACGUCCUGCCCUUGCCCUCGGCCCCUCGGAGCCCAGGGAGUGCAGGCAUUUCCACCAUCCGGAGCCACUCCUGUCAGCGCGAGACUGUGACUGGCUCUCAGCUGUCCUGUGAAGACCGGGUAAUGACAUCGUCAUUGGCCUGGAUGUGGGGUCAGACGUCCCGUCGAAAAACACGACGUAGGGCCUUUUUGUUCACUGGUGUGUGUAAGUUUUGGGGAAUCGUUGUGUUUUAUUUUCACAAACACAACCUGUUUUUAAAACUUUUAGUAGGUUUCUCUCCAGUGGCUUAAAGGGCAGUGUUUACGAACACCAGGCGUCCUCAUGCUUGGGACACACUCCAAGCCGUCGCUGUCCCAGCACUUCAGGUCACCUCAAGUGUGGGGACUGUGGCCCUUUCGGGGCAUGGGGGUGCUGCUGGGGCUUGGGGCCUCCAGGCGGGUGGAAGGGCAGCCUGUGUCUGUCAUCUGCGGACGAGAAGACGAGAGACACGCGUGGUCAAGGCGCAUUUAGCCCGUUCCAGACCUGCGACCUUCAGUUUGUCAGUUGCUGUGUAAUAAAGUCUUAUUUUAUUUCAAG